UUACGGCCAUAUCACGAUAAAACACCCGUUUUAGUCCGAUCGCCGAAUUUAAGCAAAGUUGAGCCUGUUCAGUACCUAGAUGGGUGACUGCUUGGGAAUACCGUAUG
This is a non-coding RNA of Acanthosepion pharaonis, 107 nucleotides long. NCBI's taxonomy places the organism in Eukaryota, Metazoa, Mollusca, Cephalopoda, Sepiida, Sepiidae. The record is from the annotation of a GenBank genome assembly.